CCAAGCUGUAGACAAUUGCCUAGGUUGCAUUGUACCUAAGCAAGCAUUACACUGCUUGGAGAAAAGCAACUGAAAGCUGAUAGGCAUU
This 88-nucleotide small nucleolar RNA is filed under the name Ochotona princeps (American pika). RNAcentral's name for it is "Small nucleolar RNA SNORA74 (ENSOPRG00000023959.1)". The record is from RNAcentral. Lineage: Eukaryota; Metazoa; Chordata; Mammalia; Lagomorpha; Ochotonidae.